RNAcentral lists this ribosomal RNA (359 nucleotides) under uncultured bacterium. Its description in RNAcentral is "partial 16S ribosomal RNA". It matches the Rfam family "Bacterial small subunit ribosomal RNA", at positions 338 to 714 of the family's 1533-position model. The record is from RNAcentral.
CCUACGGGAGGCAGCAGUAGGGAAUAUUGCUCAAUGGGGGAAACCCUGAAGCAGCAACGCCGCGUGGAGGAUGAAGGUUUUCGGAUUGUAAACUCCUUUUGUUAGAGAAGAUAAUGACGGUAUCUAACGAAUAAGCACCGGCUAACUCCGUGCCAGCAGCCGCGGUAAUACGGAGGGUGCAAGCGUUACUCGGAAUCACUGGGCGUAAAGAGCGCGUAGGCGGGAUAGCAAGUCAGAUGUGAAAUCCUAUGGCUUAACCAUCGAACUGCAUUUGAAACUGUUAUUCUAGAGGAUGGGAGAGGUAGGUGGAAUGCUUGGUUGAGGGGGAAAAUCCGUAGAGAUCAAGAGGAAAACUCAUU